GUAGUUUAAAGGGCCGCGGUACUCUGACCGUGCAAAGGUAGCAUAAUAAUUAGGUCUUUAAUUGGGAUCUUGUAUGAAUGGUUGGACAAAAGAGACACUGUCUUUAUAAUAUAGUUUGAAUUUAACUUUUAAGUGAAAAGGCUUAAAUAACUUAGAAAGACGAUAAGACCCUAUAAAGCAUUUUAUUGGGGCGAUAAAGGUAAAAUUAUUAACUGCUUUAAAAUAUUACAAAAAUAAGUGAAAUGAUCCUUAAUAGAGAUUAAAAGAUUAAGUUACUUUAGGGAUAACAGCGUUAUUUUUUUUGAGAGUCCAUAUCGAAAAAAAAGUUUGCGACCUCGAUGUUGAAUUAAGAUAUCUUUGUAAUUGCAGCAGUUACAAUAGAAGGUCUGUUCGACCUUUAAAUUCUU
This 407-nucleotide ribosomal RNA is filed under the name Percnon planissimum. RNAcentral describes it as "partial 16S large subunit ribosomal RNA". It matches the Rfam family "Bacterial large subunit ribosomal RNA", at positions 1918 to 2597 of the family's 2925-position model. Lineage: Eukaryota; Metazoa; Arthropoda; Malacostraca; Decapoda; Plagusiidae. The record is from RNAcentral.